This 253-nucleotide ribosomal RNA is filed under the name uncultured bacterium. RNAcentral's name for it is "partial 16S ribosomal RNA". It matches the Rfam family "Bacterial small subunit ribosomal RNA", at positions 524 to 776 of the family's 1533-position model. The record is from RNAcentral.
UACGGAGGAUCCAAGCGUUAUCCGGAAUCAUUGGGUUUAAAGGGUCCGUAGGCGGUUUUGUAAGUCAGUGGUGAAAGCCCAUCGCUCAACGGUGGAACGGCCAUUGAUACUGCAAGACUUGAAUUAUUAGGAAGUAACUAGAAUAUGUAGUGUAGCGGUGAAAUGCUUAGAUACUACAUGGAAUACCAAUUGCGAAGGCAGGUUACUACUAAUGGAUUGACGCUGAUGGACGAAAGCGUGGGGAGCGAACAGG